GUGCUUACUUUGGCAGCACAUAUACUAAGAUUGGAAUGAUACAGAGAAAUCAGCAUGGCCCCUGUGUAAGGAUGAUAUGCAAAUCCAUGAUGCCUUCCAUAUUUUU
Molecule: small nuclear RNA, 106 nt
Organism: Eptesicus fuscus (big brown bat)
Lineage: Eukaryota; Metazoa; Chordata; Mammalia; Chiroptera; Vespertilionidae
Source: RefSeq, a predicted model, not a curated record